Molecule: ribosomal RNA, 253 nt
Filed under: uncultured bacterium
Lineage: Bacteria
Description: partial 16S ribosomal RNA
Rfam family: Bacterial small subunit ribosomal RNA
Source: RNAcentral
UACGAAGGGGGCUAGCGUUGCUCGGAAUUACUGGGCGUAAAGGGCGCGUAGGCGGCACUGUUAGUCAGGCGUGAAAGUCCUGGGCUCAACCUGGGAACUGCGCUUGAUACGGCAGAGCUAGAGGAUGGAAGAGGCUCGCGGAAUUCCCAGUGUAGAGGUGAAAUUCGUAGAUAUUGGGAAGAACACCGGUGGCGAAGGCGGCGAGCUGGUCCAUAACUGACGCUGAGAUACGAAAGCGUGGGUAGCAAACAGG